AUACGAAGGGGGCUAGCGUUGUUCGGAAUUACUGGGCGUAAAGCGCGCGUAGGCGGACCGAUCAGUUAGGGGUGAAAUCCCAGGGCUUAACCCUGGAACUGCCUCUAAUACUGUCAGUCUUGAGUUCGGGAGAGGUGAGUGGAAUUCCUAGUGUAGAGGUGAAAUUCGUAGAUAUUAGGAAGAACACCAGUGGCGAAGGCGGCUCACUGGCCCGAUACUGACGCUGAGGCGCGAAAGCGAGGGGAGCAAACAGGAUUAGAUACCCUAGUAGUCC
RNAcentral lists this ribosomal RNA (274 nucleotides) under uncultured bacterium. RNAcentral's name for it is "partial 16S ribosomal RNA". It matches the Rfam family "Bacterial small subunit ribosomal RNA", at positions 523 to 796 of the family's 1533-position model. The record is from RNAcentral.